GGGAGUGGAGGGUGGGCCCGGGACGGGCGCGGACCCGGUAAUCUAACCCUGACUCACAAGAGGCGUAGGCGCCGUGCUUUUGCUCCCCGCGCGCUGUUUUUCUCGCUGACUUUCAGCGUUCGGAAAAGCCCUGUGGCCUAUCGCCAUCCACCAUCCUUUCUGGAACAAACAGACAAAAAAAAAAAUGUCAGCUGCUGGUCCGUUCGCUCCUCCCGGGCCCUGCGGUGGCCGCCAGCCCGCCCUCUCAUCCCCCGCGUCCCGCCUAGAGGCCGCGGUCGGCCCGGGGCUUCUCCGGAGGUGCCCAUUGCCGCCGCGAAGAGUUAGGCUCUGUCAGCCGCGGGCUCUCGGGGGGCCCAGGGCGAGGUUUAGGCCUCGUGGCCGCAGGGACAGCAACGGAGCGGGUCCCCGCGAGCCUGUGCGCGUCCCUGAGCCGUGGGACUUGCACCGGGGACUUUGCUCGGACAAUC
This 467-nucleotide telomerase RNA is filed under the name Tupaia belangeri (northern tree shrew). Its description in RNAcentral is "Vertebrate telomerase RNA". It matches the Rfam family "Vertebrate telomerase RNA". From Rfam's summary of the family: Telomerase is a ribonucleoprotein reverse transcriptase that synthesises telomeric DNA. Telomerase RNAs differ greatly in sequence and structure between vertebrates, ciliates and yeasts, but they share a 5' pseudoknot structure close to the template sequence. Vertebrate telomerase RNAs have a 3' H/ACA snoRNA-like domain. Lineage: Eukaryota; Metazoa; Chordata; Mammalia; Scandentia; Tupaiidae. The record is from Rfam by way of RNAcentral.